AUCCGACUGACGGGUCCCAAAUAGGACAAAACAUGCGUUAUGGAU
Molecule: non-coding RNA, 45 nt
Filed under: Schistosoma mansoni
Lineage: Eukaryota; Metazoa; Platyhelminthes; Trematoda; Strigeidida; Schistosomatidae
Source: RNAcentral